AUUGCACUCUACUAUAAACAGGCGACAAGCAUUAAUUUGAUUAACGAAGUAAGCUUGACGUCUCGUAUCCCCGAAAGAGUAAGUUUAGUUUGUUUAAAACAUUUUCGUUAUUUUAGGGCUUUCCUCAUGUCUACUUUUGCUUAAUUGUCUUGUCAUUGCGCAUUCUUUCGUAUAAGUUGGUGACUCAUUCAAAAAAUGUUCUUAAAUACAUGUAAUAAUCGAUAUUUAUCGACACUUUAAAUGCAAACAAGCGAAGACAUACCACAAAAUAACGCCUUAUAUUGUUAAACAUAAUAUUUAUUUCGAAUCAUUCAAUCUAACUGAAAUUUUAGACAAGAGUUCUAUCGGGCCAUUUAAAACAAAGUGCGGGAAAACGAUGUACUUUAGCGAUUUANUAAACACUCUUAUAAACUCUUCAAAAGUCACUGAUGUGUCAUACCGAAGCCAUCUUAAAAAAGUAACCUUUGUAAAAAGUAAUUUAACGAAGACAUCUUACUAUUACUGAGAUAUUUCAAGAUUUUAGCAUAAGAAAGGUUUCGCUUGAUUUUCGAAGUUUAAUCUUUGAAUGACAAUACCAAGCGCUUUCUGAAUGAUAUUUGCAUCUUUAGAGAGACUUCUUUUUACAUUUUCAUGGNAUAUAUUGUCGUUGAACUAUUAUAAUGAAAUCCGCUCCCUUGUAUUUAGACACUUAACGGGCUAUAGGUAAUAUAUUGAUAUUGUAUGACUUAUUGACUUUAGACGGUAUUUCUGUAGCAGCCGUAUACAUACGUUCCGUUGGGAUCUGAACUCAGUUUAACAAGCAGAAAAUUUUAGUUCUGUAUUGGAAAACAGGUGCAUCGGGCCAAAAAGCACACAAGCCGCCAUUUGUUGAAGGUAAAACCUUUUUCGACGUGCAUUACUACAGGAUUUAAGAAUUUAAUCAAUUUUUUUUUCAUUGCUCACUGUUUGACGUGGGGUUUCUUUAAAUGAGAAAAUGUUUUGAAAUUUAUGUUUCAGUAAAAGCCAAAAAAUGAUGUUNCUAAUGUAUUUGCUGUUUAUGUAUAAAGACUGUGUUCAUGCUAUGAUAAACUCCAGAAAAUGCUGAGGGUUUUACUUCAUUUCUGUUUCAUUGAAUACUAGAAAACCGAACAUUUUUAUUUGGUUACAUAUAUCGAUUGAACCUUCCUUCAUCCGGAUAUAAACCUCGUUUUUUAUUUUACACUAGUAAACUUCUGCAAAGUCAUCACGAUGAAGAGCUAUAGCAAUCAUACGAAUGCAACCAUUGCAAGGGACGAUGUCAUUUUACCUUCAAUGUUACUCGGGUUUCUCACUAUUGGUGCUGUAUUUGGUAAUGGUCUUGUUUGUAUGGCUUUUCACAAGGUCCGCAUUCUCCGCACAGUGACCAACUACUUUAUAGUGUCUCUAGCUGUUGCUGAUUUGUUGGUUGGGUUCGUUUCUAUGCCGUUGUGGUUUACAUCGGUUGCUUUUCAUUGGCCCAUUGCAACACCGCCGUNAGCAGUUUACAUACUGUGGAUAUGUAUGGAUAUUGCUUCUGCAACAGCUUCGAUUAUGAAUCUAGCUGUAAUCAGUAUUGACCGAUAUUACGCUAUAACGUCACCCCUUCUAUAUAAAACUCACCUGACAAAACGUCGUGCAUGUUUCUACAUUAUGAUCGUGUGGGUUUAUGCCUUGGGUGUGGCUUCUAUACGGGCCACACCCUUAUUUGGUUUAUGGUACAGCUACUUUAUAGCAACAGCAAGUUUUUUUGUACCACUCCCCAUCAUGUGUUUUUGUUAUGUUCGUAUUUUCAGAGUCGCUUUGAAACACGCAACGAAAUUGAGAAAACUUGAAGGGCUAAUUGAGCAUGUACAGAGGUUUGAUGAACGUGAUCUCCUGACAUCUGACAGGAAAACACAAUUAACAACGAACUCAAAUCACAUCAUUAAACAANGACUGUCGUUCAAAUCAGAAAUGAAAGCAGCUAAAACGCUUGCUAUUGUAAUGGGCGCGUUUAUUUUAUGUUGGGCGCCAUACAUUAUCACCCUUGUCAUUGAUGUUUCAUGCAGUGAUUGUAUCCCCCACACUAGGCUUAAAGUCUUAGCACAAGUUGUGAAGUGGCUUCAUUACUCCAAUUCGCUACUUNAUCCAGUAAUCUACGCCAUGUUAAAUAGAGGAUUUCGAGAGGCAUUUAUAAGAGUGUUAUGUAAACAUCCAAGUAGAGUAUGCAAAAACAAAUCAACUUUACUUCAUUUCAAGGAAGGCCGACAUGAUAAUGAGUGUGAGAUGUUUGAGUGUGUAGAAAAGAUCUCAGUAGUUUAGAUAGCGAUGGAACAUACCACACUGUUGGAUAUUUUGGUCUGGGGAUGACGUAUGNCGAUAAAGAGUUGUCACUGAUCAGGAUCUUUACUUUAUUCAGUUCAAGUUAAGUAUAUUAUUCACCACUAUGGUUCUGUGCCGCGGGAAAUAAAUAUUGCCAUUUAAUAUUUUAAUGUAGACAAUAUUUAUCGAUCAUCGUCUCGCUACCUCUGACUAAACAGGCACACAUGCAGACAUGUGUUUUUCAGUGUAGCUCAGAGAUCGGAAGAGCGUGUGU
Molecule: unclassified non-coding RNA, 2572 nt
Filed under: Exaiptasia diaphana
Lineage: Eukaryota; Metazoa; Cnidaria; Anthozoa; Actiniaria; Aiptasiidae
Description: dopamine receptor 2-like, transcript variant X1
Source: RNAcentral